GGAAGCCGAGGCAGACUGAUCACCUGAGGUCAGGAGUUAAAGACCAGCCUGGCCAACAUGGUGAAACCCUGUCUCUACUAAAAUACAAAAAUUAGCCCAGUGUGGUGGCGGUCACCUGUAAUCCCAGCUACUCACGGGCUGAGGCUGGACAAUCCCUUGAACCUAGGAGGCAGAGGUUGCAGUGAGCCGAGAUCACACCACUGGACUCCAGCCUGGGUGACAGAGCCAAACUCCAUCUCAAAAAAAAAAAAAAAAAAAGGAAGAAGAUAGGAGAAAUGCACGUAACAGAUUAUUCCUUACAGCCCCCAGAAGGAGCCAACCCUAGCAAUACCUUGAUUUUGGAUUUCCGGCCUCCAAAAUGGCGAGAAAAUAAAUUUCUCUUGUUUUAAGCCACCCAGUUUGUGAUUAUUUGUUUUGGCAGACAUAGGAAGCUACUACUGCUGAUAUGGGGCAGGCUCUCAAAGAAAUACCCUGAUGAACUGGCGUAAAUGACUGAAAUCAGGUCUUUAUUAGAUCACCUAGUGGCCCAGUGGUUAAAAGCAUAAACUUGGGAGAUAGACAAACCUGCAUUUCAAUCUCUGCUGGAAUACUCAGCCACUGUGUGACCUCAGGAUGUGUAUCUUUGGAACUCACAACAAGCAAUAUAAACCAUCAACAAAACCAGACCUCAGGAGUCUUUCUGCCCUACAUUUUAGAAGGACACAUUCUGCCCUGAGCAGGAUGAUAGGAAUAAAGAAACAGCACUUUGGGAGGCCGAGGCAGGCAGAUCACUUGAGGUCAGCAGUUUGAGACCAGCCUGGCCAACAUGGUGAAACUCCGUCUGUACUAAAAAUACAAAAAUUAGCCGCAUGUGGCAGCGCACACCUGUAAUCCCAGUCACUCGGGAGCCUGACGCAC
This 897-nucleotide long non-coding RNA is filed under the name Homo sapiens (human). RNAcentral's name for it is "HSALNT0220214". Lineage: Eukaryota; Metazoa; Chordata; Mammalia; Primates; Hominidae. The record is from RNAcentral.